UACGUAGGGUGCAGGCGUUAAUCGGAAUUACUGGGCGUAAAGCGUGCGCAGGCGGUUUCCUAAGUCAGAUGUGAAAGCCCCGGGCUUAACCUGGGAACUGCGUUUGAAACUGGGAGACUCGAGUGUGGCAGAGGGGGGUGGAAUUCCACGUGUAGCAGUGAAAUGCGUAGAUAUGUGGAGGAACACCGAUGGCGAAGGCAACCCCCUGGGCUAACACUGACGCUCAUGCACGAAAGCGUGGGGAGCAAAC
RNAcentral lists this ribosomal RNA (250 nucleotides) under uncultured bacterium. Its description in RNAcentral is "partial 16S ribosomal RNA". It matches the Rfam family "Bacterial small subunit ribosomal RNA", at positions 524 to 773 of the family's 1533-position model. The record is from RNAcentral.